AGAGUUUGAUCAUGGCUCAGAUUGAACGCUGGCGGCAGGCCUAACACAUGCAAGUCGAACGGUAACAGGAAACAGCUUGCUGUUUCGCUGACGAGUGGCGGACGGGUGAGUAAUGUCUGGGAAACUGCCUGAUGGAGGGGGAUAACUACUGGAAACGGUAGCUAAUACCGCAUAACGUCGCAAGACCAAAGAGGGGGACCCUCGGGCCUCUUGCCAUCGGAUGUGCCCAGAUGGGAUUAGCUUGUUGGUGGGGUAACGGCUCACCAAGGCGACGAUCCCUAGCUGGUCUGAGAGGAUGACCAGCCACACUGGAACUGAGACACGGUCCAGACUCCUACGGGAGGCAGCAGUGGGGAAUAUUGCACAAUGGGCGCAAGCCUGAUGCAGCCAUGCCGCGUGUAUGAAGAAGGCCUUCGGGUUGUAAAGUACUUUCAGCGGGGAGGAAGGGAGUAAAGUUAAUACCUUUGCUCAUUGACGUUACCCGCAGAAGAAGCACCGGCUAACUCCGUGCCAGCAGCCGCGGUAAUACGGAGGGUGCAAGCGUUAAUCGGAAUUACUGGGCGUAAAGCGCACGCAGGCGGUUUGUUAAGUCAGAUGUGAAAUCCCCGGGCUCAACCUGGGAACUGCAUCUGAUACUGGCAAGCUUGAGUCUCGUAGAGGGGGGUAGAAUUCCAGGUGUAGCGGUGAAAUGCGUAGAGAUCUGGAGGAAUACCGGUGCGAAGGCGGCCCCCUGGACGAAGACUGACGCUCAGGUGCGAAAGCGUGGGGAGCAAACAGGAUUAGAUACCCUGGUAGUCCACGCCGUAAACGAUGUCGACUUGGAGGUUGUGCCCUUGAGGCGUGGCUUCCGGAGCUAACGCGUUAAGUCGACCGCCUGGGGAGUACGGCCGCAAGGUUAAAACUCAAAUGAAUUGACGGGGGCCCGCACAAGCGGUGGAGCAUGUGGUUUAAUUCGAUGCAACGCGAAGAACCUUACCUGGUCUUGACAUCCACGGAAGUUUUCAGAGAUGAGAAUGUGCCUUCGGGAACCGUGAGACAGGUGCUGCAUGGCUGUCGUCAGCUCGUGUUGUGAAAUGUUGGGUUAAGUCCCGCAACGAGCGCAACCCUUAUCCUUUGUUGCCAGCGGUCCGGCCGGGAACUCAAAGGAGACUGCCAGUGAUAAACUGGAGGAAGGUGGGGAUGACGUCAAGUCAUCAUGGCCCUUACGACCAGGGCUACACACGUGCUACAAUGGCGCAUACAAAGAGAAGCGACCUCGCGAGAGCAAGCGGACCUCAUAAAGUGCGUCGUAGUCCGGAUUGGAGUCUGCAACUCGACUCCAUGAAGUCGGAAUCGCUAGUAAUCGUGGAUCAGAAUGCCACGGUGAAUACGUUCCCGGGCCUUGUACACACCGCCCGUCACACCAUGGGAGUGGGUUGCAAAAGAAGUAGGUAGCUUAACCUUCGGGAGGGCGCUUACCACUUUGUGAUUCAUGACUGGGGUGAAGUCGUAACAAGGUAACCGUAGGGGAACCUGCGGUUG
Molecule: ribosomal RNA, 1521 nt
Filed under: metagenome
Description: bacterial SSU rRNA
Rfam family: Bacterial small subunit ribosomal RNA
Source: RNAcentral